GGAAAUCGCAAAUCCAUCGCUGGAAAAGGUAACUCUUCAAUCUCCAUUGCUUCUCUUCCAUUUCUUCCUUUCAAAAUUCCCACAAAACCCUAUAGUUGUAUCUAUAUACUAUACGUAUUUUUACAGAUUAUACUCUUCUUCCGUAGAAUCUCUGUAAAACCCUAAAAUGGAGUGGAACCCUGAAACCGCACAAUUUCUCUCCCAAUGCUUCCUUAAUACGCUAUCUCCGUUACCGGAGCCUCGCCGUCGAGCUGAAACAGCACUUUCUGAGGCCUCCGAGAGAUCUAACUAUGGUCUCGCCGUGCUUCAUCUUGUAGCUGAGCCUUCUGUUGACGAGCAGAUCCGUCAAUCUGCUGCUGUUAACUUCAAAAACCAUCUCAAGGCCCGUUGGGCUCCAUCACCUCCUAAAGAACCAAAUCUUCCAGCAUUAAACCCCAUUUCCG
This 443-nucleotide unclassified non-coding RNA is filed under the name Hevea brasiliensis (rubber tree). The record is from RNAcentral. Lineage: Eukaryota; Viridiplantae; Streptophyta; Magnoliopsida; Malpighiales; Euphorbiaceae.